Molecule: long non-coding RNA, 223 nt
Filed under: Capsicum annuum
Lineage: Eukaryota; Viridiplantae; Streptophyta; Magnoliopsida; Solanales; Solanaceae
Description: long non-coding RNA (CANN_LNC002606)
Source: RNAcentral
UUCCAAUAACGUAUACCAAGCUUCGUAAGGUGUGAACUUCUUGCUCAAGUGAUGUAUAGCUUGCUCCUUCUUUACGUUUCAUCAUGUUAUCCUAAAACAUACUCAAAUGCAUUAUCUGACAUAGAUAAGUAUAGUAACAAUGGCCUUUCGGGUUUCGGGGGACCAAAACGGGUGGAUUGGACAAAUACUCCUUGAUUCUGUCAAAAGUGUUAGCAAUCUUCUG